GCGGUGGUGGCGGUGCUGGCGGUGUCCGCGGUGCCGGUGGUGCCGCGGCCGUGUCGGUCCGGGUCCGACCUGCCGCACC
Molecule: transfer RNA, 79 nt
Filed under: Actinocatenispora sera
Lineage: Bacteria; Bacillati; Actinomycetota; Actinomycetes; Micromonosporales; Micromonosporaceae
Description: tRNA-Thr
Source: RNAcentral